RNAcentral lists this ribosomal RNA (658 nucleotides) under uncultured archaeon. RNAcentral describes it as "bacterial SSU rRNA". It matches the Rfam family "Archaeal small subunit ribosomal RNA", at positions 1 to 652 of the family's 1478-position model. The record is from RNAcentral.
UUCGCCCUUUUCCGGUUGAUCCUGCCGGAGGUUACUGCUAUCGGUGUUCGACUAAGCCAUGCGAGUCAAAUGUUCUUCGUGAACAUGGCGGACUGCUCAGUAACACGUGGAUAACCUGCCCUUAGGUUCGGCAUAACUCCGGGAAACUGGAGAUAAUUCCGAAUAGGUCAAAUAUGCUGGAAUGCUUUUUGGCCAAAAGACCUCGGUUGCCUAAGGGUGGAUCUGCGGUCUAUCAGGUUGUAGUGGGUGUAACGUACCUACUAGCCUACGACGGAUAUGGGUUGUGAGAGCAAGAGCCCAGAGAUGGAUUCUGAGACAUGAAUCCAGGCCCUACGGGGCGCAGUAGGCGCGAAAACUUUACAAUGCGGGAAACCGCGAUAAGGGGACACCGAGUGCCAGCAUUUAUGUUGGCUGUCCACAUGUGUAAACGGCAUGUGUUAGCAAGGGCCGGGCAAGACCGGUGCCAGCCGCCGCGGUAACACCGGCGGCCCGAGUGGUAAUCACUUUUAUUGGGUCUAAAGGGUCCGUAGCCGGUUUGAUCAGUUCUUCGGGAUAUCUGACAGCUCAACUGUUAGGCUUCCGGGGAAUACUGUCAGACUUGGGACCCGGGAGAGUAAGAGGUACUACAGGGGUAGGAGUGAAAUCUUGUAAUCCCUGU